Molecule: small RNA, 61 nt
Filed under: unclassified sequences
Description: queA RNA
Rfam family: queA RNA
Source: Rfam by way of RNAcentral
UUGAUGCCGUAACAUCAAGCGAACUUAACCAGCUAAUUUAGUUCGUCUUAAUGUGGCCUAU